ACGCCCUCGACCUAUUCU
Molecule: small nuclear RNA, 18 nt
Filed under: Arabidopsis thaliana (thale cress)
Lineage: Eukaryota; Viridiplantae; Streptophyta; Magnoliopsida; Brassicales; Brassicaceae
Description: snRNA_03058
Source: RNAcentral